This is a long non-coding RNA of Panicum hallii, 559 nucleotides long. RefSeq lists it as uncharacterized. The transcript is spliced from 3 exons. NCBI's taxonomy places the organism in Eukaryota, Viridiplantae, Streptophyta, Magnoliopsida, Poales, Poaceae. The record is from RefSeq and is a predicted model, not a curated record.
GAUGUGUGCUUCAUCUGUAGGGUUGGCGGCCAUCUCAUGCUCUGCGACUUCAGGUUUAUCUCCCUUCGCUCCAGUGGUGGGAAGGCUUACAUUUUUGUGUUCUUGAUUAUUUUUCACGGGUAAUAACUUUGUUCUUGCUUCUCCCGGUGGCUGUUGCAAAGCGUACCACAUUGAAUGCUUAGGAAAACAUGAUGUCAAUUCUAAAGAAUUGUUUAUUUGUGAAUAUCAUGCAUGCUCGGUGUGCUUAGAGUGUCCGCACCACUACUGUGUGUGUUGUCCUCGAUCCUUCUAUGAAGCUUGCAGAAAAGGCGUGUACUUUCAAAUGAUCAAAGGGACAAAUGGACUCCGCGGUAGCUGUUUUGAGUUGGUAGUGGCAAAGGAGAAGGAGGAUCUUGAUCCCAGAGACCUGGUGCUAUUCAUGGAUUAAUGUACACUUUUUGAGAAGGAUGGCUUGGACAUCAGUACAUUCAGAAGUUAUGGGAUUCAUUUCAUGUUCUACUUGAUGAACAAGGAUCACGUGUCCUUCGAUGAUCUUCAUGAAGCAUGCCUUGGUUUGUGA